RNAcentral lists this RNase P RNA (377 nucleotides) under Gammaproteobacteria bacterium. Its description in RNAcentral is "RNase P RNA component class A". It matches the Rfam family "Bacterial RNase P class A". Rfam says of the family: Ribonuclease P (RNase P) is a ubiquitous endoribonuclease, found in archaea, bacteria and eukarya as well as chloroplasts and mitochondria. Lineage: Bacteria; Pseudomonadati; Pseudomonadota; Gammaproteobacteria. The record is from RNAcentral.
GGAGUUGGCCAAGGCAGUCGCGCUGCUCAUAUCAUUGAUAUGCGCAUCGAGGAAAGUCCGGGCUCCGCAGGACAGAGUGCCAGGUAACGCCUGGGGGGCGCAAGCCUACGGAAAGUGCCACAGAAAAUAUACCGCCGGUUGAGCUUCGGCUUAACCGGUAAGGGUGAAAUGGUGCGGUAAGAGCGCACCGCAUGUCUGGCAACAGGCAUGGCAGGGUAAACCCCACUCGGAGCAAGACCAAAUAGGGGAACAUAAUGCGUGGUCCGCGCUGUUCCCGGGUAGGUUGCUUGAGGUAUGCGGUGACGCAUGCCCUAGAUGAAUGACUGCCCCGGCUCUUUGAGCUACGACAGAACCCGGCUUAUCGGCCAACUCCCCCU